UAGGGAAUCUUCGGCAAUGGGGGGAACCCUGACCGAGCAACGCCGCGUGAGUGAAGAAGGUUUUCGGAUCGUAAAGCUCUGUUGUUAAGGAAGAACGAGUGUGAGAAUGGAAAGUUCAUGCUGUGACGGUACUUAACCAGAAAGGGACGGCUAACUACGUGCCAGCAGCCGCGGUAAUACGUAGGUCCCGAGCGUUGUCCGGAUUUAUUGGGCGUAAAGCGAGCGCAGGCGGUUAGAAAAGUCUGAAGUGAAAGGCAGUGGCUCAACCAUUGUAGGCUUUGGAAACUGUUUAACUUGAGUGCAGAAGGGGAGAGUGGAAUUCCAUGUGUAGCGGUGAAAUGCGUAGAUAUAUGGAGGAACACCGGUGGCGAAAGCGGCUCUCUGGUCUGUAACUGACGCUGGGGCUCGAAAGCGUGGGGAGCGAACAGG
This 429-nucleotide ribosomal RNA is filed under the name Bacteroidota bacterium. RNAcentral describes it as "Bacteroidetes bacterium partial 16S ribosomal RNA". It matches the Rfam family "Bacterial small subunit ribosomal RNA", at positions 355 to 776 of the family's 1533-position model. RNAcentral also lists the same sequence under 1 other name. Lineage: Bacteria; Pseudomonadati; Bacteroidota. The record is from RNAcentral.